Molecule: ribosomal RNA, 301 nt
Filed under: uncultured bacterium
Lineage: Bacteria
Description: partial 16S ribosomal RNA
Rfam family: Bacterial small subunit ribosomal RNA
Source: RNAcentral
CAGCAGCCGCGGUAAUACGAAGGGGGCUAGCGUUGCUCGGAAUGACUGGGCGUAAAGGGCGCGUAGGCGGCGGCCAAAGUCAGGCGUGAAAUUCCCGGGGCUCAACCCCGGAACUGCAUCCGAUACUGCCAUGCUAGAGGAUUGGAGAGGUAGCUGGAAUUCUUGGUGUAGCAGUGAAAUGCGUGGAGAUCAAGAGGAACACUCGUGGCGAAAGCGAGCUACCGGACAAUAACUGACGCUGAGGCUCGAAGGCCAGGGUAGCGAAAGGGAUUAGAUACCCCCGUAGUCCCUGUCUCUUAUU